CUAUCGUUAAGUGAAUACAUAGCUUAACGAAGCGAACCGGGGGAACUGAAACAUCUAAGUACCCCGAGGAAAAGAAAUCAACCGAGAUUCCCCCAGUAGCGGCGAGCGAACGGGGAGCAGCCCAGAGUCUGAAUCAGCGCGUGUGUUAGUGGAACGGUCUGGAAAGUCCGGCGGUACAGGGUGAUAGCCCCGUACACUAAAAUGCACACGUUGUGAACUCGAAGAGUAGGGCGGGACACGUGGUAUCCUGUCUGAAUAUGGGGGGACCAUCCUCCAAGGCUAAAUACUCCUGACUGACCGAUAGUGAACCAGUACCGUGAGGGAAAGGCGAAAAGAACCCCGGCGAGGGGAGUGAAAAAGAACCUGAAACCGUGUACGUACAAGCAGUGGGAGCCUACUUGUUAGGUGACUGCGUACCUUUUGUAUAAUGGGUCAGCGACUUAUAUUCUGUAGCAAGGUUAACCGUAUAGGGGAGCCGCAGGGAAACCGAGUCUUAACUGGGCGUUAAGUUGCAGGGUAUAGACCCGAAACCCGGUGAUCUAGCCAUGGGCAGGUUGAAGGUUGGGUAACACUAACUGGAGGACCGAACCGACUAAUGUUGAAAAAUUAGCGGAUGACUUGUGGCUGGGGGUGAAAGGCCAAUCAAACCGGGAGAUAGCUGGUUCUCCCCGAAAGCU
Molecule: ribosomal RNA, 677 nt
Filed under: Klebsiella ornithinolytica
Lineage: Bacteria; Pseudomonadati; Pseudomonadota; Gammaproteobacteria; Enterobacterales; Enterobacteriaceae
Description: Raoultella ornithinolytica partial 23S ribosomal RNA
Rfam family: Bacterial large subunit ribosomal RNA
Source: RNAcentral